AUUGAACGCUGGCGGCAGGCUUAACACAUGCAAGUCGAGCGGGGUGAUGGUGCUUGCACUAUCACUUAGCGGCGGACGGGUGAGUAAUGCUUAGGAAUCUGCCUAUUAGUGGGGGACAACAUCUCGAAAGGGAUGCUAAUACCGCAUACGUCCUACGGGAGAAAGCAGGGGAUCACUUGUGACCUUGCGCUAAUAGAUGAGCCUAAGUCGGAUUAGCUAGUUGGUGGGGUAAAGGCCUACCAAGGCGACGAUCUGUAGCGGGUCUGGGAGGAUGAUCCGCCACACUGGGACUGAGACACGGACCAGACUCCUAAGUGAGGCAGCAGUGGGGAAUAUUGGACAAUGGGGGGAACCCUGAUCAAGCCAUGCCGCGUGUGUGAAGAAGGCCUUAUGGUUGUAAAGCACUUUAAGCGAAGAGGAGGCUACUUUAGUUAAUACCUAGAGAUAGUGGACGUUACUCGCAGAAUAAGCACCGGCUAACUCUGUGCCAGCCGCCGCGGUAA
RNAcentral lists this ribosomal RNA (503 nucleotides) under uncultured bacterium. RNAcentral describes it as "partial 16S ribosomal RNA". It matches the Rfam family "Bacterial small subunit ribosomal RNA", at positions 30 to 523 of the family's 1533-position model. The record is from RNAcentral.